CAGAGUCGUAAAACACUCCCAAACCCUUUGUAAAUCUACCUGUUUCGUUGCUUCGGCAGGCGAUCCCAGGGCGGGAUCGUGGCUGCAAGGCGCCUGCCGAAGAACUCACAAACUCUUGUUUCUGUGGUCUUCAGAGUAAACAUACAAAUAAGUUA
Molecule: unclassified non-coding RNA, 155 nt
Filed under: uncultured Sordariales
Lineage: Eukaryota; Fungi; Ascomycota; Sordariomycetes; Sordariales
Description: sequence contains ITS1
Source: RNAcentral